CCCUCUCCCUCCCCUCUCCUCUCUAGGUAUCGUCUGUUCAAGCAGCAGUUAGACAUGAAGACAGAAGAGUUAGAUAUUCUCCAGGUUAAACUCCAUCAGAGCUCCUUCCAUAAACAACAGGAAGAACUGAAGAUGUUACUGAAGACCAUCGAGGAGUGUGAGGAGACCCUGCGCAGCAGUAAGGAGGUCCAGAAGAAGGCAGAUGAGAAGACAAGGUGUUGGAGGAUAAGAUGAAGAAUGCGGAGGCAGAGAGGGGAGAAGAACUGA
This is a long non-coding RNA of Oncorhynchus kisutch (coho salmon), 267 nucleotides long. RefSeq lists it as uncharacterized. The record is from RefSeq and is a predicted model, not a curated record. The transcript is spliced from 3 exons. NCBI's taxonomy places the organism in Eukaryota, Metazoa, Chordata, Actinopteri, Salmoniformes, Salmonidae.